Molecule: long non-coding RNA, 239 nt
Organism: Carcharodon carcharias (great white shark)
Lineage: Eukaryota; Metazoa; Chordata; Chondrichthyes; Lamniformes; Lamnidae
Exons: 3
Source: RefSeq, a predicted model, not a curated record
GCUCAAAUGCAUUUCACUUACAGUAUAUCUUGGACAGGAGCAAGAGCAAGUAAGUGAGUUGGCACAAAGAGCAGAUGCAGGACUAAGAGGAGUGUGCUGCCUAAUGUGGCUAAGGUCCUCAGAUGCUGCUUGGAAGGAUACAGUGGCAGAGAUAUUCAAGCAAGUGGUGACUUUGACUGAGGAAAAAGGGACAAUCACCCAUUAGAGACAUUGAAAAGCAAGUGCUCAACCAGUGAACU